RNAcentral lists this ribosomal RNA (406 nucleotides) under uncultured bacterium. Its description in RNAcentral is "partial 16S ribosomal RNA". It matches the Rfam family "Bacterial small subunit ribosomal RNA", at positions 30 to 526 of the family's 1533-position model. The record is from RNAcentral.
AUUGAACGCUGGCGGCAGGCUUAACACAUGCAAGUCGAACGAGUGGCGGACGGGUGAGUCAUGUCUGGGAAACUGCCUGAUGGAGGGGGAUAACUACUGGAAACGUUAGCUAAUACCGCAUACCAUCGGAUGUGCCCAGAUGGGAUUAGCUAGUAGUGGGGGUAAAGGCUAACCUGGGCGACGAUCCCUAGCUGGUCUGAGAGGAUGACCGGCCACACUGGAACUGAGACACGGUCCGGACUCCUAGGGGAGGCAGCAGGGGGGAAUAUUGCACAAUGGGCGCAAGCCUGACGCAGCCAUGCCGCGUGUAUGAAGAAGGCCUUCGGGUUGUAAAGUACUUUCAGCGGGGAGGCGUUACCCGCAGAAGAAGCACCGGCUAACUCCGUGCCAGCAGCCGCGGUAAUUC